Molecule: ribosomal RNA, 2193 nt
Filed under: human gut metagenome
Description: bacterial LSU rRNA
Rfam family: Bacterial large subunit ribosomal RNA
Source: RNAcentral
UUAAGCUAAUAAGAGCGCAGGGAGGAUGCCUUGGCAUCAGGAGCCGAAGAAGGACGUGGUAAGCUGCGAAAAGCUACGGGGAUUGGCAAGCACGAUAUGAUCCGUAGAUGUCCGAAUGGAGCAAUCCACAUGGAGUCAAGUCCAUGUAUCAUAUACUGAAUAAAUAGGUAUAUGAGGGGAACCGCCCGAACUGAAACAUCUAAGUAGGGCGAGGAAAAGAAAUCAACCGAGAUUCUGUGAGUAGUGGCGAGCGAAAGCGGAAGAGGCUAAACCGAGAGGAGCAAUCCUUUCGGGGUUUAGGACUGCAUUUAGUACAACGAUUGUUAACCGAACAGCAUGGGAAGGCUGAUCAAAGAAGGUGAGAAUCCUGUAGGUGAAAACGAAAGUUGACGAGCAGUAUCCAAAGUACCGCGGGGCACGUGAAAUCCCGUGGGAAGAUGGGGGGACCAUCCUCCAAGCCUAAAUACUACCUGAUGACCGAUAGCGAAUAGUACUGUGAAGGAAAGGUGAAAAGCACCCCGGGAGGGGAGUGAAAGAGAACCUGAAACCCUGUGCUUACAAGCACUUAGAGCACGUCAAAGUGUGAUAAGGUACCUAUUGUAGAAUGGUCCGGCGAGUUAUUGUAUGCAGCGAGGUUAAGUAGUUCAGCUACGGAGCCGAAGUGAGAGCGAGUGUUAACAGCACGUUCAGUUGCAUGCAAUAGACCCGAAACCGGGUGACCUAUCCAUGUCCAGGAUGAAGUGAGGGUAAAACCUCAUGGAGGUCCGAACCCACUCCCGUUGAAAUGGUAGGGGAUGAGGUGUGGAUAGCGGAGAAAUUCCAAUCGAACCCGGAUAUAGCUGGUUCUCCCCGAAAUAGUUUUAGGACUAGCCUCGUGAUCAAGAUUAUCGGAGGUAAAGCACUGAAUGGCCUAGGGGUCGAGAGAUUACCGAAGCCUAUCAAACUCUGAAUGCCGAAUAAUCAUGCACGGGAGUCAGACUGUGUGAGAUAAGUUUCAUAGUCGAAAGGGAAACAGCCCAGACCUACAGCUAAGGUCCCAAAGUACGUUUAAGUGGAAAACGAUGUGAAAUUGCGUAGACAACCAGGAUGUUGGCUUAGAAGCAGCCAUACAUUAAAAGAGUGCGUAAUAGCUCACUGGUCGAGUGACUUUGCGCGGAAAAUUUAACGGGGCUAAAACGUACACCGAAGCUUAGGCUUGCAACUAUGUUGCAGGGGUAGGGGAGCGUUGAAUGAGGGGUGAAGUCGUAGCGAAAGCGACGGUGGACUUCAUUCAAGUGAGAAUGCCGGAAUGAGUAGCGAGAAUUAUGUGAGAAUCAUAAUGGCCGAAAGCCUAAGGUUUUUGGAGGAAGGUUCGUCCGCUCCAAGUAAGUCGGAAGCUAAGGUGAGGCUGAAAAGCGUAGCCGAUGCACAAACGGUUGAAAUUCCGUUACCACAGAAAGAUUUAAACUAAGGGACACUUUUGAAGAGCUGAUGCCGGGUGUUGGUUACCCCGGUCGUAAGGGAACGAAAUUAAGUAGUGAAGUCAGCGUGGAUGAAGGCGAGAAAAGCUUAGUGUAUAUCUUAUGUGUCCGUACCGCAAACCGACACAGGUAGGUAGGAAGAGAAUUCUAAGGCCAACGGGAGAAGGGUAGUUAAGGAACUCGGCAAAAUGUCCCCGUAACUUCGGAAUAAGGGGAGGUUUCUACGGAAACCCGCAGAGAAUAGUCCCAGGCAACUGUUUAUCAAAAACACAGCUCUAUGCUAAAUCGAAAGAUGACGUAUAUGGGGUGACGCCUGCCCGGUGCCGGAAGGUUAAGAGGAGGAGUGAGAGCCCUGAAUCGAAGCCCCGGUAAACGGCGGCCGUAACUAUAACGGUCCUAAGGUAGCGAAAUUCCUUGUCAGGUAAGUUCUGACCCGCACGAAUGGCGUAAUGAUCUGGGAGCUGUCUCAACUGCCCGCCCGGCGAAAUUGUAGUACCGGUGAAGAUGCCGGUUACCCGCGACUAGACGGAAAGACCCCAUGGAGCUUUACUGUAGCUUAAUAUUGGAUUUCGGCAUUUCAUGUACAGGAUAGGUGGGAGACUAGGAAACAUAGGCGUCAGCUUAUGCGGAGUCGUCCUUGGGAUACCACUCUUGGAGUGCUGAAAUUCUAACCUGCAGCCCUGAAUCGGGUUGGGGGACAUUGUUAGGUGGGCAGUUUGACUGGGGCGGUCGC